CGCCGAUGGUAGUGUGGCAUUUGCCAUGUGAGAGUAGGUCAUCGCCAGGG
RNAcentral lists this ribosomal RNA (50 nucleotides) under Aquimonas voraii. Lineage: Bacteria; Pseudomonadati; Pseudomonadota; Gammaproteobacteria; Lysobacterales; Lysobacteraceae. The record is from RNAcentral.